CUGAAGCAUAUUGGUUCCAGAUUUUUCCUGAAACAGGCCUUCGGUACAUACACACCACCUCCACCACUCCAACACCCCCCACCUCCUUUUUUUUCCUCAGCACAGACCAAGACAGACAAUAGAGUUCUGGGUAACCUCCACACAUCUGGGAGCCAUUUCCUCCCCAAAGGACUCACUUCCUGUGGGCAGUCACUUAACAUGGAGGUGUUUCUACAAGAGGUCAUGGUGGGAUCAUAGCCAAAGGGCUUUGCUUAAAGAUUCCCUGCAGCAACUUCACAUUCUUUUGCAUGAGACAAGAAGACAACAGUGAAAGGUUUUUUUCUCUUUGAUCACAACACCUGGACGUCUCCCACAAAUCAAAAGAC
Long non-coding RNA from Carassius carassius (crucian carp), 365 nucleotides. RefSeq lists it as uncharacterized. The record is from RefSeq and is a predicted model, not a curated record. The transcript has 3 exons. NCBI's taxonomy places the organism in Eukaryota, Metazoa, Chordata, Actinopteri, Cypriniformes, Cyprinidae.